UAGUGGUCAAUGGACGCGAGUCUGAACCAGCCAAGUAGCGCGAAGGAUGACAGCCCUAUGGGUUGUAAACUUCUUUUAUAUGGGAAUANNGUUUUCCAUGUGUGGACUUUUGUAUGUACCAUAUGAAUAAGGAUCGGCUAACUCCGUGCCAGCAGCCGCGGUAAUACGGAGGAUCCGAGCGUUAUCCGGAUUUAUUGGGUUUAAAGGGAGCGUAGGUGGACAGUUAAGUCAGUUGUGAAAGUUUGCGGCUCAACCGUAAAAUUGCAGUUGAUACUGACUGUCUUGAGUACAGUAGAGGUGAGCGGAAUUCGUGGUGUAGCGGUGAAAUGCUUAGAUAUCACGAAGAACUCCGAUUGCGAAGGCAGCUCACUGGACUGCAACUGACACUGAUGCUCGAAAGUGUGGGUAUCAAA
This 413-nucleotide ribosomal RNA is filed under the name uncultured bacterium. RNAcentral describes it as "bacterial SSU rRNA". It matches the Rfam family "Bacterial small subunit ribosomal RNA", at positions 362 to 772 of the family's 1533-position model. The record is from RNAcentral.